CUCUGUUCAGGAGCAGCACUCGAGGCUGGCAUUCUUUUCCUUACAGGAAAGAUGAGGUGUUUUGGACACAAAAUACUCUGUCCUUUCUAUCUUUCCAACACUAACAAUCUUACGCCCUGCACUUAAAGACAAUUUAUGCUUCAUCUGAAAAUGUGGCCGGAGGCUUCGUAUGGAGGGUGGGAUGCAAUUGUGGAGCCUCCGGAGGCAAGCAAGAGGCCAAAUCGAGCUCCAUACUGCCUUCCUGUGCAUCUCUCAAAUUUUGUAACAAUGCAGAGGGUUCCGUAGCUCCGUAUUGACAUGAUUGGUUGAAGAGUGAUGCAAGCUCCGAAUCACACAGAAUAUACCAGAACCCAGUGAUGGCAGAGAUAUGGAAGCGAAUCAUACGGCUGGUAAAAACAACGAGUGUCAGCUGAGCCCCUUCUCCCAUGACUCAGGGCCCUGUGCAAUUCCAUUUCAGCUAGGGUUAGAGACCAGCCCUGCCAGAUCCCCAUUUUCACUUUUUUACAAUUUAGAUUUUGCUUUUAAUUGAACCCUGAGUAGACCAGAUAAAGCAGACCACUGCCCUAUUACCACACACACACCUGCAGGUCAGGACCAAAGUUGGGGUCGAUUAAUAGUUGGACCACUGUUUUUUGGGGGCAUCUGGGGAGUUUCUUUGGUAAUUAUGUGUCUGAGACUGAGACAACGCCUGUGUAUCUGUUUGUAAACAAAUAUAAGUCUCCAUGUCCCUAAACCGAACUCAUAAUUUCACAACAAGCUGUAAUCAAUUACUGACUGAUGAGUUGAAGUAGAACUGGAGGCCUUGCUGUGCAUCUAGUUUCCUAUCCAGGAGAAAGAUUGCCAUCUAGUGGAUAUUGACUGUAUGUGACCAUUAAGCCACAAAGCACUGGACUGAAGUAGUGUUGUCAAAUCUGCCUUGAAUAGUUGCAUUAAAAUCUGACUAAUUUAGAACAUAAGAAAAUAGUCUGAUGCUGUUAUAUUAAGAGUGUUUAUUAGACAAAAACAUACAAAUGUCACAAUAGUUAAAUCAUUACAAAAGGACUAUUUUUGUGCAUGUACAAUGUGUAUGACAAACAAACAUACAUUACAAAUACAAGUAACAAAAGGUUACCCUACAAUCAUUCUAAUAAAAUAUCUUUGACAUUUGGCCACGCAGAAGCUGACAUGUAAAAACCACAAUGAGGAACCCACAAUGCUUUGUUUGUGUGCUUCCCUAAGCGGGUCCUGAAGGACCCCUAUAUGCUCCUGAGUGACUACAGCCCCUGGUUCGAUUCCAGGCUAUAUCACAUCUGUACGUGAAUGGGAGUCCCAUAGGGCGACGCACAAUUAGCCCAGUGUCGUCCCGGUUUGGCCGGUGUAGGCCGUCAUUGUAAAUAAGAAUUUGUUCUUAAAUGACUUGCCUAGUUAAAUAAAUGUUCAAUAAAAAAUAAAAAAUUG
This is a long non-coding RNA of Oncorhynchus keta (chum salmon), 1437 nucleotides long. RefSeq lists it as uncharacterized. The transcript is spliced from 2 exons. NCBI's taxonomy places the organism in Eukaryota, Metazoa, Chordata, Actinopteri, Salmoniformes, Salmonidae. The record is from RefSeq and is a predicted model, not a curated record.